RNAcentral lists this small RNA (28 nucleotides) under Bombyx mori (domestic silkworm). Its description in RNAcentral is "ovarian small RNA-35699". Lineage: Eukaryota; Metazoa; Arthropoda; Insecta; Lepidoptera; Bombycidae. The record is from RNAcentral.
UGUCCUGGUCCUCCGAUGAGCCUCGGUC